GCCCUGCCACUUGUUUCCACUUUUUGGGGCAUAGUUUUGUUUGGAGAGUACCAGAGAUCAUCAAGAAGAACAUAUGUAUUACUAGCCAGCAUGUUGUUAAUGUUUAUUGUAGCUGUUGCAAUUCUAAUGGCAUCAGCAGGGCAUCGAAAGUGAGCUCAGAACGUCAUAACAUGCCUGGAAACUGUACAGAAAAUAGAUUAUUAAGCAGUUCCAUGGUUGAUCAGACAGUCAAUAAAAGAAGUCAUGUAAAAUUUGUUAAUACACCCAUUGGAAGGGAGCUGCUUCCUAAUUCAAGAAAAGAAUCCUG
RNAcentral lists this unclassified non-coding RNA (307 nucleotides) under Hevea brasiliensis (rubber tree). The record is from RNAcentral. Lineage: Eukaryota; Viridiplantae; Streptophyta; Magnoliopsida; Malpighiales; Euphorbiaceae.